AUUGAACGCUGGCGGCAGGCCUAACACAUGCAAGUCGAGCGGAUGAAGGGAGCUUGCUCCUGGAUUCAGCGGCGGACGGGUGAGUAAUGCCUAGGAAUCUGCCUGGUAGUGGGGGAUAACGUCCGGAAACGGGCGCUAAUACCGCAUACGUCCUGAGGGAGAAAGUGGGGGAGCUUCGGACCUCACGCUAUCAGAUGAGCCUAGGUCGGAUUAGCUAGUUGGUGGGGUAAAGGCCUACCAAGGCGACGAUCCGUAACUGGUCUGAGAGGAUGAUCAGUCACACGGGACCUGAGACACGGUCCAGCCCCCCACGGGAGGCAGCAGUGGGGAAUAUUGGAAAAUGGGCGAAAGCCUGGUCCAGCCAUGCCGCGUGUGUGAAGAAGGUCUUCGGAUUGUAAAGCACUUUAAGUUGGGAGGAAGGGCAGUAAGUUAAUACCUUGCUGUUUUGACGUUACCAACAGAAUAAGCACCGGCUAACUUCGU
RNAcentral lists this ribosomal RNA (483 nucleotides) under uncultured bacterium. Its description in RNAcentral is "partial 16S ribosomal RNA". It matches the Rfam family "Bacterial small subunit ribosomal RNA", at positions 30 to 506 of the family's 1533-position model. The record is from RNAcentral.